AGAGCAGAGAGGCCCGCGAGAGGGAAAGCUGGCCCAGGCCCAGGGCAGGCUCGCCUCUGACUCUGCAGGGACAUUAUUCCCUCCCAGCCAGCAGGGAACUUCUGGAACUUCUAAACAGCACAUCCUCGAGCCAGCCCAGGCCCCCACAGCAUCCUGCACCCCAGGUUUACAAGCUUUUUAAUGGCGCAGUGGCUCAUGCCUGUAAUGCCAGCACUUUGGGAAGCCAAGGCAGGCAGAUCAAUUGAGGACAGGAGUUCAAGACCAGCAUGGCCAACAUGGUGAAAUCCUGUCUCUACUGAAAAUACAAAAAUUAGCCAGGCAUGGUGGCACAUCCUAUAGUCCCAGCUACUCAGGAGGCUGAAGCAGGAGAAUCACUUGAACCUGGGAGGCAGAGGUUGCAGUGAGCCAAGAUUGCGCCCCUGCACUCCAGCCUGGGCGACAGAGCGAAAACCUGUCUUAAAAAUAAAUGAAUAAAUAAAUAAAGGUAUAUGUCUCCAUCAGAGAUAGUCAACUGCCAUAUAUCUCUGCUUUCAGAUGAUUUUAAAGAGAAGGUGUUUUGAAAGCUCGAGACAUGUUCUGGGCUUGGCUUUGGCUCUACCUCCAUCUCUGUUUUGAGAAACACAGUCCUCUUCUCUGUGUAUCUGGAAAUCUUGGAGGCACUGAGCUGUGUUGCAGGGACUUCCUCAUUACCCAGGCUGUGCCUUGUCCAAGUGUUGCCAAAGGUCUCCAAGAAGAGAAAUCCAUCCACUCCUUCCUUCAGGCUGUCUAACUGGCGUGCCUGCCCUGUCAUAUCCAAGCAGUGACCCCAGCCCCAUUCCCCUAAGAGUAGGGACUCCAUCAUUGUGUCCCCGCAAGCUUGCAGUUCUCUCAAAUCUUGUCACAACCCCCCACCUUCUGGGUGCCAAGAUGCUCAGACGGUUUGUGAUUCCUCUGAUGACCUCUGGCUGGGAUUCCCUGCUUCCCACCUCUCACCCUCUAUCUGCACCUCAACUCCCACAGCUGCUCUCCUCUCCCACCCGCUCUUUAUCACCCUUUGCUUAGCCCCGUCCCUGCAUUGCCCCAGCCACGCCCAACUCACACGGCAGCAGACUUUUACUCAAGGUUAGGGGUCAUAGAGAGGAAAUGACAGUAAGCAAAUGAGAAUCUACGAAUAGACAUUACCCUGAAAGUUCACCAACCAUCUCCCACCUCAGAAAACUUCUCACUGUUCCCUAAGUCCCAACUUAAACCAUCUUCUCUCCAGCCUUCCCCUUCUCUUCUAGACCCUUCUACCCAAAUUCCAAGUUCCUGGGGAUUCAUCUUGCAAAACAAUUUGUCUUGCCUUCCGCAUGCCCAGAAAGUCUCAUUGUUCUCACCAGAGCGCUUCCCUAUCAGGGUUCAUCAUAGCAUAAUCCUCAAAACAGAGGCAUCUACCUCCAGGAUAGAUGCCAGCCCGCCCCUGGAAUGAUAAAGCACAGCAUUUUGUUUUCUAUGUAACACUUUCUUCCUAUCCACCCGCCACCACCGCCCCCUUACAUCUGGUACC
Molecule: long non-coding RNA, 1525 nt
Filed under: Homo sapiens (human)
Lineage: Eukaryota; Metazoa; Chordata; Mammalia; Primates; Hominidae
Description: non-protein coding lnc-CTDSP2-1:8
Source: RNAcentral